Molecule: ribosomal RNA, 459 nt
Filed under: uncultured bacterium
Lineage: Bacteria
Description: bacterial SSU rRNA
Rfam family: Bacterial small subunit ribosomal RNA
Source: RNAcentral
GAUGAACGCUAGCGAUAGGCCUAACACAUGCAAGUCGAGGGGUAACAGAGUGUAGCAAUACAUUGCUGACGACCGGCGCACGGGUGAGUAACACGUAUGCAACCUACCUACAACAGGGGAAUAACCCGGAGAAAUCCGGACUAAUACCGCAUAACACAGGGGUCCCGCAUGGGAAUAUUUGUUAAAGAUUUAUCGGUUGUAGAUGGGCAUGCGUUCCAUUAGCUGGUUGGUAAGGUAACGGCUUACCAAGGCAACGAUGGAUAGGGGAACUGAUAGGUUUGUCCCCCACACUGGAACUGAGACACGGACCAGACUCCUACGGGAGGCAGCAGUGAGGAAUAUUGGUCAAUGGACGCGAGUCUGAACCAGCCAAAUCGCGUGAAGGAAGACUGCCCUACGGGUUGUAAACUUCUUUUAUAUGGGAAUAAAAAGAGGGACGUGUCCCUUGUUGCAUGUACC